AUUGAACGCUGGCGGCAUGCUUUACACAUGCAAGUCGAACGGCCGCGCGGGCUUCGGCCUGGCGGCGAGUGGCGAACGGGUGAGUAAUGCAUCGGAACGUGCCCAGUAGUGGGGGAUAGCCCGGCGAAAGCCGGAUUAAUACCGCAUACGACAUGAGGGUGAAAGCGGGGGACCGAAAGGCCUCGCGCUAUUGGAGCGGCCGAUGUCGGAUUAGCUAGUUGGUGGGGUAAAGGCUUACCAAGGCGACGAUCCGUAGCUGGUCUGAGAGGACGACCAGCCACACUGGGACUGAGACACGGCCCAGACUCCUACGGGAGGCAGCAGUGGGGAAUUUUGGACAAUGGGGGCAACCCUGAUCCAGCCAUGCCGCGUGCGGGAAGAAGGCCUUCGGGUUGUAAACCGCUUUUGUUCGGGAAGAAAUCCUCUGGGCGAAUACCCCGGGGGGAUGACGGUACCGGAAGAAUAAGCACCGGCUAACUACGUG
RNAcentral lists this ribosomal RNA (484 nucleotides) under uncultured bacterium. RNAcentral describes it as "partial 16S ribosomal RNA". It matches the Rfam family "Bacterial small subunit ribosomal RNA", at positions 28 to 507 of the family's 1533-position model. The record is from RNAcentral.